UUCGCAAUGCCCGAAAGGGUGACGAUGCGACGCCGCGUGGAGGAUGAAGGCUUUCGGGUUGUAAACUCCUGUCAGGGCAACAGAAGGGGAGGGGAGGAAACCCCCCGACCUUGACUGAGCCCAAGGGAAGCCCUUGCUAACUCCGUGCCAGCAGCAGCGGUAAUACGGAGAGGGCGAGCGUUGUUCGGAAUUACUGGGCGUAAAGGGCACGUAGGCGGGUCCGUAUGUCAGGGGUGAAAUCCCCCGGCCUAACCGGGGAAGGGCCUCUGAAACUGCGGGCCUCGAGUGAAGCAGAGGGGAGUGGAACUCUCGGUGGAGCGGUGAAAUGCGUUGAUAUCGAGGGGAACACCGGCGGCGAAGGCGACUCCCUAUGCUUCUACUGACGCUGAGGUGCGAAAGCCAGGGGAGCGAACGGGAUUAGAUACCCCGGUAGUCCUGGCCCUAAACGGUGGGCACUAAGUAGAGGGGUUUU
This 472-nucleotide ribosomal RNA is filed under the name uncultured anaerobic ammonium-oxidizing bacterium. Its description in RNAcentral is "bacterial SSU rRNA". It matches the Rfam family "Bacterial small subunit ribosomal RNA", at positions 365 to 832 of the family's 1533-position model. The record is from RNAcentral.